ACUCUAAAAGGCUCAAUUUUUGUUGGAUUUGAAGACAAUCUGAAUUUUGAGUGAAUUUCUAAGUGACGAGGGUUGGUCACCGUCAUAGUUUGAAUCACUCAACUUCAAAGGAGAAAUUCUCAUGAGUAAAUCAUUAGAUUGCAACAAAAAUUAUUGGAUUAGAAGCAUCUUAAAGUUAACCUUUCAACAAGCUAAUAAUCAUUCAAAUUAAAGUUGAUUAAAAAUUUUGGAAAAUUUUGGAGUAGAAGAGGGUUGCUGCCUUCAAUCCUUGUGUAUUGUCAAGAUACCUUUGCUUUAACCUCUCUUAUUU
RNAcentral lists this long non-coding RNA (310 nucleotides) under Physcomitrium patens. Its description in RNAcentral is "long non-coding RNA (PPAT_LNC002026)". Lineage: Eukaryota; Viridiplantae; Streptophyta; Bryopsida; Funariales; Funariaceae. The record is from RNAcentral.